This 251-nucleotide ribosomal RNA is filed under the name Pseudopolydora sp. GF-22033_16326. RNAcentral's name for it is "partial large subunit ribosomal RNA". Lineage: Eukaryota; Metazoa; Annelida; Polychaeta; Spionida; Spionidae. The record is from RNAcentral.
CAAGCCCUGUUGUCAAUAUGGUCUCUUAAACAGGAUUAGCCUGUUAUCCCUAAGGUAGCUUCUUCUAUUAAUCAGCUAUGCUGGAUCUUUUUAUGUAUUUAAGAGGUGUUUAAGAAUCCUCUAGUUGCCCCAACUAAACUUGGAACUAAAAUAAAGUCAGUUAUAAGUAAAGCUCUAUAGGGUCUUUUCGUCUUUUUAAAAGAUUCAAGCCUCUUCACUUGAAGGUCAAUUUUUAUUUAUAAAUAAGAGAC